UUUCGCAAUGCCCGAAAGGGCGACGAAGCGACGCCGCGUGCGGGAAGAAGGCCUUCGGGUUGUAAACCGCUGUCGGGAGUUAAGAAAUGCAAGGGUGUUAAUAGUAUCCUUGCUUGACUAAGGCUCCGGAGGAAGCCACGGCUAACUCUGUGCCAGCAGCCGCGGUAAUACAGAGGCGGCAAGCGUUGUUCGGAAUUAUUGGGCGUAAAGAGCACGUAGGCGGCUGUGUAAGUCGGUUGUGAAAGCCUUCCGCUCAACGGGAGAACGGCAUCCGAUACUGCAUAGCUUGAGUGCGGGAGGGGAGAGUGGAACUUCUGGUGGAGCGGUGAAAUGCGUAGAUAUCAGAAGGAACACCGGCGGCGAAGGCGACUCUCUGGCCCGUAACUGACGCUGAGUGUGCGAAAGCUAGGGGAGCAAAUGGGAUUAGAUACCCCGGUAGUCCUAGCCGUAAACGAUGGGCACUAAGUAGAGGGGUUUUA
This 479-nucleotide ribosomal RNA is filed under the name uncultured anaerobic ammonium-oxidizing bacterium. RNAcentral's name for it is "bacterial SSU rRNA". It matches the Rfam family "Bacterial small subunit ribosomal RNA", at positions 364 to 833 of the family's 1533-position model. The record is from RNAcentral.